RNAcentral lists this long non-coding RNA (577 nucleotides) under Homo sapiens (human). Its description in RNAcentral is "HSALNT0400259". Lineage: Eukaryota; Metazoa; Chordata; Mammalia; Primates; Hominidae. The record is from RNAcentral.
GUCAAAUUCUAACUGCAGAGAAUGAUCAGGAAAGAUCAAUUUGAGGAAAUAACAUUUGAGCUAGACUUUUAAGGAGGAGAAAGAGCCAGCUGCAGAAAGCCAACAAGAGGGGUGUUUGAUGCAAAGAAAAUCAUAAACCGACCCCCAGCUGGAAAUGAUCCUAACCUGUGGAAGCUCCUGAAUUGAGUGAGGGACUGGCCGGCAGGAGAGCAUAACACAGCUCAUCCUGACUGAUGCCACCAUUUCCAGAUAAGAGAAAUGCGACUGAGAAAGAUUAAGAUAUUUUCUUAAGAUUGGACAUUGUGUUCCUACCCAUUGUGCUUGCCUUAUAGUUGAAAGAGAGUUUAUUUAAGCACAGAGAUCAAGCAAGAGUGGAGCACAGGACACACUUUCAGGUUGCCUUGGGGACUGCUCUGUAGAACAAAAAAUCAAACUCAAGAUUUUAAGGAAAAAAAGUACAAGUGAAGAGAAGGCGUGAUUACCAAAGUUGUUGAUCUAAUUCUCAUUGAUUUACAGAAAUAACAGUGGCUAAUGAUCAGCUAUACAUUGUUGAAUUAUAGGAUGUAUGGCAUUUAAA